This 236-nucleotide unclassified non-coding RNA is filed under the name Hevea brasiliensis (rubber tree). Lineage: Eukaryota; Viridiplantae; Streptophyta; Magnoliopsida; Malpighiales; Euphorbiaceae. The record is from RNAcentral.
UAUGGAUUUGCUCAUAGGGAUUACAUACGAAUGAAGUUUUCCUAUCAGUUAAAGAAGCUAGCCAAUGAAAUGCUUGAUUGAAAGAAUGUUUAAUAAAAACAAAAGAUACAGAAAAAAGUAAACCAGUAACCAUCCUGAUAUCUUAAAGAAUACUUUGAAUCAAACUGGGCUGAGCACCCCCAUGGGAGUUGUUAACAAAAAUAUGAUAAUCUCCUUCAAUAAUUCCUUUUGCUCUG